Molecule: long non-coding RNA, 1467 nt
Organism: Pezoporus flaviventris
Lineage: Eukaryota; Metazoa; Chordata; Aves; Psittaciformes; Psittacidae
Exons: 3
Source: RefSeq, a predicted model, not a curated record
UCAUAUGGGGAAGGGCUGAGGCAGCUGUUUGAGUUACUUCAUUAUCCUUCAUCCCUCUGCAAAUAUGCCUUCCCCAUGACAAUCCUGAUUGUCUGACAUGGCGAUUCUCAUGGCAAGAUGUUGUGACCAAGACUGUUGCAAGUAGCCUCAUUUUUCAUCACCACUUACCCUUUUUGUUCUGUCCAUGUUGUUUGUGAGUUGGGCAGGCCUGGUUACUCUGGUUUUAUUUAUUCCUCUGUUAAUACAGUGCAGCCAUGCCAUGGUUUCCCUUUGGCAGGCGGCACUGCAUGACAGGACUCGUGUUUACAACACAUCAAGCUGCGACAAGCACCUCCAAGCUGCCCAUUCCUGUAAGAGCCAGUCACAUUCUCCUUGCAGCCUUCCCCUCCCAACACAUUUAACCCCCCCCAGAAUUACCAGUUAUUGGAAGUUUUUAAACUUUGUAAGAUUCAGGGGCUUCAUUUAGGCAGCAAAGCUGUGUAUUGAAAUAUGAAUUAGUAGCGUGUGUAUCGGCAGGAUAGACCAUCUGCUGUGCUCAGCACCCGGGUUUGAAGCUGGUUGGCUGGCAGGACAGCAUGUGUUUACAGAAAACCCUAACAGUUGUAAAGGAGCCAUUUAGGUUUAUCGUGUCAAUUCCUGUACAACUCCACGAGGAGAGAUUCCUUUCACAAACUUGCAUAAAAUAGACAGAUAGACUAGUUUUGACCUCUCUCAAAACAUUUGACGGUUGAGCUUGUUGCAAGGAUAAAAUAUCUGGAACAGCAGAAAAAAAAAAUAUCUUGUCAUUUCCCCCUCCUAAGCAUUAGACUCCUUGAAUGCAGCAUCCAUUCAUAGCUUAGUCCUUGCUUUAUGAUUUAACUGCCUUUUAUUUUCCUUCUGAGAUGCAAACGCAGGAGCUGUACCUGAUUUUCAUACCGUAUUAUGCGAGUCGUUGUGAAAAAGCUGUCCAGAGUAAUGGCUCCAUUUCAUCAUGAUGCAUAUGCCAAGGUGCUGGAACACAGUUUAAAGAAAAGCAUGACAACGCCUAUGACAGCAGUCUUUCUCAGGCUUCUGAGCAUCGCUCGUGAAUGCCUGUGGAUGGGAUUGAUGCACUUCCCUGCAAGGAGCUGAGUGCUACAGCCACACCACAUCAUCUCACUGCCUAUUUUCAGGCUCUGUGCUGUGCCCUCCUGGGUCAAAGUGAAAAUGGAAGAGGAUGGCAAGCCAAGGCACACAGAAGAUGUCUCACUGGAUUUUGUACGUUUUCAAACAUAACCCUUGCAUUCUUGUCAAUGUAUCAAUACAGCACUGAAAGACCAAAACUGCAGCACACCAAGUGCAAUCCCUGUACACACAACGUACCAAUGGCUUGACAAGUGAUGUCUUUGGUAACUGUGGUCAUUCCCAUUUCCAGACUGGUCAGAAUGGCUUUGGAGUACUGGGCAGCCCAUGACCUGUCUGACUUUGACGAAUGAAAAAGCAGCUCAG